GUCUACAGCCAUGCCACCCUGAAUGUGCCUGAUCUCGUCUGAUCUCUGAGACUAAGCAGGGUCAGGCCUGGUUAGUACUUGGAUGGGAGACCACCUAGGAAGACCAGGUGCUGUAGGCA
Molecule: ribosomal RNA, 119 nt
Filed under: Pteropus alecto (black flying fox)
Lineage: Eukaryota; Metazoa; Chordata; Mammalia; Chiroptera; Pteropodidae
Source: RNAcentral